This is a long non-coding RNA of Leopardus geoffroyi (Geoffroy's cat), 1936 nucleotides long. RefSeq lists it as uncharacterized. The record is from RefSeq and is a predicted model, not a curated record. The transcript is spliced from 3 exons. Lineage: Eukaryota; Metazoa; Chordata; Mammalia; Carnivora; Felidae.
GGUGUCCCUGGGGAAGAGGUGCAGAAAAGAAGGCAAUUUGGGAUCAAAGGAGGCUUCACUCUGGACGUAGUGCCCACUUGGGGAUGACAAUGAACUUGGUUUUGCUCACUGGGGCCUGAGCUAGCACCAACCUGGUAGAAAAAGCAACCACGAAGCCAGAGAGGGAAGAGAGCUCCAGACAGCGAUGAAAAGGAACCACGCGGUUAAAAAAGGGAAGAUUCGGGGGAGUGGAGAGGGAAUUAUCCGAGAUCACAGGACGAACGCCCCAGAAGGGGAGAAGACGGAAUAACCGCGCGCGGAUGCCGGGACAGCACCGGGCCCUGGCUCUGGCUCCGAUUCCUGCCCGCCACUGCCCCACACGCUGAGGGCUGGGCCCUCCAAGCCCCCCCUCGCGGCCGCCAGGGCUUCCUCGCUCUCCUUAUCAUCUCCAUCUUUAUGACGAGGCUUGUUAACAAGACCAGCGAGCUGGCCACGCACAUCUAUCUCAGCGCUCACGCUCAGCCAAGCAUCGGCCGGCGCGGGGACUAGCGAGGCACUAAUUAAUUGAUUCCUCUGGACAGUAAAAUAUGGCAGCGUCUACACGGAACCCAUAAACAAUAUCUCUGCGGGGUGUGAGUGCAUUGUCUCUCAAAGAAUUUUUCCAUAGGCGUGUGUCAAGUAGUGGAUUUUUCGCCACUAAAGAAAGACCCAAGUGGGACUCAUUUCUCCGGGGCGAGACAGAGCUAGUUCAGUGUCAGAAAAUGCUUUAAGCUGUUACUGCCUCUCCGAAAGUGUUUAGGAGUGGAUUUUGUUGAGAAAAAGUUGGGUGAUGCGAUAACUUUUCCCUGCUGCUGGUGUAGACCUGGCCAACCUUAGGGAUGGGAGUCAGAGCUGAGGGGCUAGGUGGGCCAGAAUCUUCUCCCUGGUUGGCUGAGAGGGAGUGGAGCUGCUCUGUGGUUUGAGAGAGUCAUAGAAGAGUAGAAGACCAGGUCCAGCCUUUGCUUUAGGCUGUCUCUCUAGACUCCAGAUUUUAAAAAUAAAUUUUAAAAAAUGUAAACAGACUUUGGCUUUCAGGAGCAGUGCUUGCCCAGUGCACACCUGAAACUUGCCUGUUACCCCAACCUGCCUGUUACACACCUUGUCAGGCCAUUGCAUUUCCCUCCCGCCGCCCCCUCCCCCCCCCUUUCCAACUGGCAGCCUGGAGUAACUGUAAUAUAUUUACCUUAGGUCUAAAAGAACAAGCCCUGAGACACGGAGGGAAGGGAAGUAACCUAAUUAGAUAAUGUUAAUUCUUUACCAGGCUGUGAUUAUUCAGUCAGACUCCACUGCAAACAGGACUUAGGAUUCUAAAUAUAGACCCUGACUUCAAGAGAUGUAACAGGGAAAUAGAGAUCAGUGACCAGCGAUUAUUGUAUAAAUAGUCCAUGUAGACAUAGAAGGGGUUUUCAAAAGAUGGAAAUAAUAGAAAAACAGGAAAACAGAAAAGAGGCUCCGUUGAUGGAGACUGUCAUUGCCAAAGCGCGAGCUUCCUCCAGCUACUGUUUGCAAAACAGCCAAAUAAACGCGUAUUUUAAAUACAAUAAUACGCAAGCUCAAAGAAUUUACUUCCCUGGAUUUGGUACCUGCACACCAUGUAAACAAACUAAUUUACAGGACAUAUUUUUCAUACAUUGGGUAGAUAUUCAAUUUGUAUAUAUAAUGAUGCCUUUUCCAUGUACUUUUUAUGUGGAUACAUUAAUAUCGGGAUGCAUUUUCCAUGCAUGAUUUUAUACGUCCUAUGGAGUGUAUACAUCUAUGUAGCUCAAGAGAUGCGGGACUGUGUAUUCCCGGUGUGGGAUGGAUAUGCGAGUGUACUGUUUAUGUAAAUGAAUCUUUACAUGUGGUGUUUAUCCAUGCUAUGUGUGACCUUUUCCCAGAUGGUUGCUUUCCCGUGCAAAUAAAAGUGCCUCUGUAUGUA